GUGCUCACUUCAGCAGCGCAUAUACUAAAACUGGAAAGAUACAGAGAAGAUUCGCAUGGCCCUGCAUAGGAUGACACAUAAGAAGGGGGAAAAUGAUAACCCAUAUUU
This is a small nuclear RNA of Leptonychotes weddellii (Weddell seal), 108 nucleotides long. The record is from RefSeq and is a predicted model, not a curated record. NCBI's taxonomy places the organism in Eukaryota, Metazoa, Chordata, Mammalia, Carnivora, Phocidae.